Long non-coding RNA from Branchiostoma floridae (Florida lancelet), 942 nucleotides. RefSeq lists it as uncharacterized. The transcript has 2 exons. NCBI's taxonomy places the organism in Eukaryota, Metazoa, Chordata, Leptocardii, Amphioxiformes, Branchiostomatidae. The record is from RefSeq and is a predicted model, not a curated record.
CCGUGGACGGCGUCCCCAAGCCGCCUGUAGCUUCCACCAAGGAUUUUUAUCCGUCAAGGUUGACGGAUUGGUUUUAAAAUUUUUCCGUCACACGCAGCAAAUUUCCGUCAAUUGACGGAAAAACGGACGUUGGCUAGAGCCCUGACCCACCCCCAACCAGUUCCCAACCCUUUCCAGAAAGUUUGAAACAUUUGAAAUGUUCGGCUGGCACUGUAAGCCAAUCAGCAUCUAACCUUGGAGACCAACUGUCAACCUUUAAAGGCUACCUUGUUCCCAACUAACGCCCAAUUAUAAUUAUUAUAUUUCAUUGGUGCAGGAAUUUUAGCCCAUUUUAGCAGAAUAAAACAGCAACAGAAUGUUGAGAGCACAUAACAGUUACUCUGCAUUAAGUAUUUUGGAUGGUUUAUUUUCUCUGUUUUGUAACACAUUCAAUGAAAAAGUCUUACUUAAUAGGUAUCAGACUUGUUUUGACUGUCAUUGAAGAAUUUUCAGGGAUAUUACAGUACUAGGAUAUUUCACAUUGCACUUACAGACAGUUAACAUACAAGCUACGUCGGAAGAGCUGAAAUAGCAUUAAUAUCUAUGAGAUGUACGUUACACACUAUGUGGAUGAAAUGAGUUAUCAAAUAACCCAAAUCAAAAGACUAAAAAGUAUAUCUUUUUUCAAUUUACUUUUAAUGGAAAUGUGAAUAUGACAACACCUGUACAUGUAACUAAUACUGACACAGAGGUUAUGCAGAAAGCCAUUGCUGCUAUGGGCUCUUGGAAAAUUGAACUAGAAAAUUAAAAGACAUCAAAAAGAUUUAAUGUUACUGGGUCCUGGUUACUAUAGUCUAGAUUUUGUGUCAUUCCUAGUGCUUAAAUGACCAUUUUGUAAAAGUUUUGUCACUGCAUAACUAUGAUCAUUUUGUGUAUUCACUAAAUCUUAGUUCAUAGUUUACA